AUACGAAAGGUGCAAGCGUUGUUCGGAUUUACUGGGCGUAAAGAGAGUGUAGGUGGUUUAUUAAGUCGGAUGUGAAAUCCCGGGGCUCAACCUCGGAACUGCAUUCGAUACUGAUAGGCUAGAGUUUGGGAGGGGUAAGCGGAAUUCCGUGUGUAGCAGUGAAAUGCGUAGAUAUACGGAGGAACACCUGAGGCGAAGGCGGCUUACUGGACCGAUACUGACACUGAGACUCGAAAGCGUGGGUAGCAAACAGGAUUAGAUACCCCGGUAGUCC
Molecule: ribosomal RNA, 274 nt
Filed under: uncultured bacterium
Lineage: Bacteria
Description: partial 16S ribosomal RNA
Rfam family: Bacterial small subunit ribosomal RNA
Source: RNAcentral